CGAGGUGUGGCUCAGUUUGGUAGAGCGCUACGUUCGGGACGUAGAAGUCGGAGGUUCAAAUCCUCUCACCUCGACCA
Molecule: transfer RNA, 77 nt
Filed under: Bacillota bacterium
Lineage: Bacteria; Bacillati; Bacillota
Also listed under: 1 other name
Description: Firmicutes bacterium (gut metagenome) tRNA-Pro
Rfam family: tRNA
About the family: Transfer RNA (tRNA) molecules are approximately 80 nucleotides in length.
Source: RNAcentral